RNAcentral lists this ribosomal RNA (484 nucleotides) under uncultured bacterium. RNAcentral describes it as "partial 16S ribosomal RNA". It matches the Rfam family "Bacterial small subunit ribosomal RNA", at positions 30 to 507 of the family's 1533-position model. The record is from RNAcentral.
AUUGAACGCUGGCGGCAGGCCUAACACAUGCAAGUCGAGCGGAUGAAGGGAGCUUGCUCCUGGAUUCAGCGGCGGACGGGUGAGUAAUGCCUAGGAAUCUGCCUGGUAGUGGGGGAUAACGUCCGGAAACGGGCGCUACUACCGCAUACGUCCUGAGGGAGAAAGUGGGGGAUCUUCGGACCUUACGCUAUCAGAUGAGCCUAGGUCGGAUUAGCUAGUUGGUGGGGUAAAGGCCUUCCAAGGCGACGAUCCGUAACUGGUCUGAGAGGAUGAUCAGUCACACUGGAACUGAGACACGGUCAAGACUCCUAAGGUAGGCAGCAGUGGGGAAUAUUAGACAAUGGGGGAAAGCCUGAUCCAGCCAUGCGGCGUGUGUGAAGAAGGUCUUCGGAUUGUAAAGCACUUUAAGUUGGGAGGAAGGGCAGUAAGUUAAUACCUUGCUGUAUUGACGUUACCAACAGAAUAAGCACCGGCUAACUUCGUG